This 97-nucleotide transfer RNA is filed under the name Oryctes borbonicus. It matches the Rfam family "tRNA". Rfam says of the family: Transfer RNA (tRNA) molecules are approximately 80 nucleotides in length. Their secondary structure includes four short double-helical elements and three loops (D, anti-codon, and T loops). Further hydrogen bonds mediate the characteristic L-shaped molecular structure. tRNAs have two regions of fundamental functional importance: the anti-codon, which is responsible for specific mRNA codon recognition, and the 3' end, to which the tRNAs corresponding amino acid is attached (by aminoacyl-tRNA synthetases). tRNAs cope with the degeneracy of the genetic code in two manners: having more than one tRNA (with a specific anti-codon) for a particular amino acid; and 'wobble' base-pairing, i.e. permitting non-standard base-pairing at the 3rd anti-codon position. The record is from Rfam by way of RNAcentral. Lineage: Eukaryota; Metazoa; Arthropoda; Insecta; Coleoptera; Scarabaeidae.
CCUUCGAUAGCUCAGUUGGUAGAGCGGUGGACUGUAGUUGGCAGUACGUUGUACAAUAGAAAUCCAUAGGUCGCUGGUUCAAAUCCGGCUCGAAGGA